CCUACGGGUGGCAGCAGUGGGGAAUAUUGCACAAUGGAGGGAACUCUGAUGCAGCGACGCCGCGUGAGUGAAGAAGUAAUUCGUUAUGUAAAGCUCUAUCAGCAGGGAAGAAAGUGACGGUACCUGAAAAAGAAGCUCCGGCUAAAUACGUGCCAGCAGCCGCGGUAAUACGUAUGGAGCAAGCGUUAUCCGGAUUUACUGGGUGUAAAGGGAGCGUAGACGGCAGUGCAAGUCCGGAGUGAAAGCCCGGGGCUCAACCCUGGGACUGCUCUGGAAACGGUAAAGCUGGAGUGCGGGAGGGGCAGGCGGAAUUCCUGGUGUAGCGGUGAAAUGCGUAGAUAUCAGGAGGAACACCGGCGGCGAAGGCGGCCUGCUGGACCGUAACUGACGUUGAGGCUCGAAAGCGUGGGGAGCAAACAGGAUUAGAUACCCGAGUAGUC
This 440-nucleotide ribosomal RNA is filed under the name uncultured bacterium. RNAcentral's name for it is "partial 16S ribosomal RNA". It matches the Rfam family "Bacterial small subunit ribosomal RNA", at positions 338 to 795 of the family's 1533-position model. The record is from RNAcentral.